RNAcentral lists this long non-coding RNA (8173 nucleotides) under Equus caballus (horse). Its description in RNAcentral is "lncRNA (ENSECAG00000041640.2)". The record is from RNAcentral. Lineage: Eukaryota; Metazoa; Chordata; Mammalia; Perissodactyla; Equidae.
GACUAGGGUCUCAGGCUUUAGCUUGUUUGAUGUCACAGAAUCCACUGUGAGGUCACUCCUGUGCUGUGAAAGAAGAAAACAGCAAUUCAUUCUGAAAAAGUAUGGUUUUAUUUAUUUAAAAUGAGGGGAAGCUAAGCUGAAAUCAGCUUUGUCUCAUGCUCUGGCUCUUCUCCUGAUGGGCUUUAGAAAAAGUCAUUGUCUCCUUGAUCUCAGAUAUGAUGGCAGCAGUGAUCGCCAGCCCUUCCCCACCCUCUGUUGUCUGCAUGAUCAGUUCUCUGCUGCUUUCCUCCACAGCUUUAGACCUGAUGAUGCCCACCUCUGUAUCACCUGAAGGACAGCAGGCUUUGAGGUUCUUUAAUAAAGAACCGAUCCUGCUGGGUCUCUGACUUGCUUUGAACCCAAAUUACUGUCAUUGCAAUAGGGUCAGCUUUGAGCUUUCAGCAAAGAGCCAGUCCUGCUGAGUCUCUUAUUUUCAGAACCUGGGGCCACUGUGUGGUAGUGUGGGCUUUGAGAUUCUUUAGCAAUGAGCCAAAACUGCUGGAUCUCUUACUUGCAGAGCCUGGAACUACUGUGUAUGCAAUAUGGUAGGCUUUAAAAUUUAUUUAAAAAAAGAGAGAGCCAAUUGUGUGGUGCUUUUACUUGAAGCCCUGGAAAAAAGAGGCAGAGCCAUAAGCAAUGACGGCGCUACAAGGACGACGAGGUCCUUGUGUCCUGUAAACUUCUCUCCACAUGUUGGCUGGUUCUGAUGGUGUUGACAUGACCUGGGGCCUCCGGGAGCUGGAGGCAAAGCCCCCUGUGCUGGGCCCCGGCUCCGCUGUGCUCCUUGCCCUCCUCUCGUGCUGCCCUGGCUCAGGAAAGUGCAAUAUUCGCACAACGUGUUUCUCUCCCAUUGUGAAUCAGCAAAGUUCCUAACAGGCCUGGCAGGUGACUUGUUUCCUUUACUCAGAUUCAGCUACACAACCCAGGAAAGUGGCUCAGGUUAAGUUCCAGGAUCUAACGUCAGAAUUUAAUGAAUAAUAAGGAAAAUGGAGCUCUUUUUCCCCAGGAAGUUCUCAGUGAUGGGGCCAACUGAGCCAGUCAUUGCCCUGAUGGGGCCGAAAGCUACACUCUCCUGUCACCUCAGACCCCCGCUGGAUGCCAAUCCAUGGAGUGAGUGGACUCAAGAUCGCCCCUUAGCUAAGACAGCUUUUAUGUCUGAUCAUCAGGGAACACAAUUCAGAAGGAGGACUGAGUUCUUGAAGAACGUCACCAUGGGGAGUGUUCAUCUCGGGCUGCAAGAUACACCCUUCCGGUGAAGGGCAGCACAGAUGUAACUUUGAGGAUUUGUCCAGUCACAGCAAUGUUACUUCCAAGUGUAUGUGGCAGGAGUCCUGAGAGAAGCCAGGCUCCACGAUGCACAACAGAGUGUCCAGGGAAUGGGUGAUGAUCUUCCAUGUGCAGAUUCAAUGCCCUGCCACUGCUGGGGCUGCGACUCAUGCACGUCCCACAAAAGGAUUAUGAAGUUCCCCGCGCGUUCUCUUCAAGAACAGUGAUGCCAGAGUGGACCAUCUGGUGUGUAAGGCUGCAAGGUGGUACCCAGAGCCUGAGGCAAGCUGGUGAGAUGCCUAACACAGAAUUUAAAGCCACACUCUGAAAACAGCAGAACAGAUGGAAACAGUCUGUUCUCCACUUCAUCUUCAGUCCUAGUAACUAGACUAAAAAAGCUGCACUCUGUUCCUCAACCUCCGGCUCAACCAGAAGGAGGAAAUAACUAUUUCUGUUGGCAGGGUAGUUUCUAUAUUACUACAUCGCGUCGCCUUGAGAAGUGUUUUAAAAGCUGUGUUUCUUGUAUAUUGUUGAAUUUCUAAUAGAAAGGAAAAUCAUUUUGAGUCUCUGCACUGUACUUUUUAGGCAACAUUCUAACACCAAAAUGAGUUGUGGUGUUCAAGGCUCCUACUUGGACUAGAGCUGCCAGCAUUUCUUUGCUAGGUGAAGUGUGACGCGAAAUUAAAAAUUCACAAUAUUCUUUCUUGAGCUUAGGUUUCUUAGCAGAAUCUGAUUUUUAGAUAAUGAAUAUAAUAAUUGUCAACAGCAAAUUGACUGGAAGCACAGAGAAGUUGCAGUUUUUCCUUUAUCCUUAAGAGGUUCUUUUAUUCAUAAUAUUUAUGCAAUGACAGAAUGAACAGUUGAAUUACAUUAAAAUCAUUGAAAUGAUGGCUUUGUCUGUAGGACACCAGGGAAGUGAUUUGUAUUAUUUUACUGGUUGCUUUAAAAACUGUGUAGGCGUGUGUGGAGUGAUGAGAUUAGGAUGAACCUACGCCUCUAUGGUAGACAGGGGCUACAAGAGAGGAGAAUUUAAAUGUUAUCAGAAAAAAGACACAGAGAAAUGGUGAGAUGCUUUAAGGUCAGCAUGAACUAGAUACUGGCUCUUUUUCGAAAUGGAACGUGUACUGACAGACAUUGCCACUUACCCGAACUGAUGUCAAUAUUUUCCUUCUUCAACAGAAAUAUUAUGUGGGUAAUUUUGAGUAUUAUUUUAACCGUGGUCUGCAUUCCCGUGAUUGUUUUCUUCAUCACGGUGCAAGGAAAAUCUAAAAGUAAGUGGGUUGGAGCGAUGUGAAGGCUGUCAUUUGAGUUUGUCCAUUGUUGGGACCUGGUGGAGAAAGAUGGUGACCUGGAAGAGUAAGACGGUUGUCUAGAAGAGUUAAAUGAUCUGUACAGAAAAGAGACGGAAAGCUUGGUGAGUAGGAACGCGAAGGAAGGACCAUUGUUUGGUAGCGUUAUUUCAGCUGGGAAUCUUGGUUUCAUCUUGGUACUGAACGGAGUGUGGUUCUCAGUCCUUCUGUUGGGGACAAGAUGUUAUUUGCUCAGCACAAGAGAAGCCCUCAUGGACCCUCAUCCUUCAGCCCCCCUCAGUGAGGCUUCAGCGAGGAAUGAUUUAGGGCUCUUACUCUCGGUUCUACUGCCCGGAGGAACCUGGUUCCCAUAAUGGAGCAGGUGAAAGGUCCAACAGCAAAACGUGGGACCUCACCACGUGCACUGCAGCAAAAGAAGAACAAAUUAUCAAAAUAAGUUUAUUAGAAAGAAGGCAAAGUACGGAAAUAACCCAUUUUAGAAUAAGGGGAUAACUUAAAGAUAAUUUAAUUUAAACUUUCUUAAACAUUCUCCACUGUUUCCCCAGAGGUUAAUUAGGAGAGGUUUGGGAAAUACUAGAUUAAAUAAAGUUAAAAUUUUUUUACUUAAAAUAUUAACAGAGAUGUUAAAUGGUAAUAUGAAUUAUGAAUGUCUAAAAGCAUUUAAUUUCAAGGAAGAAUAUUUCAGAAAGUAUUAAAUUAAAAAUAUAUAAAUGUCCAAAUUUUAUAAAGUAAAUUAUGGUUUGAAAAAAUAAAAUGGAAUGAAUUAGAGGGUUUUAAAAAAUUUCCAUGGAUGGUUUUUGUUUUGUUCUAUGUGUGUUUCUAAUCUUCCCAAUUUCCAUAAUAAGAAUGUAUAAUAGUCUGAAAAAAAAGUUUAGAAAAAAUAGUCUUCUGAUUUUUCUCCAGUCAUCCUUUCCAUGCUCAUCACUUAAUCAGAUGUAAGGUGAGGAUCCCCCUUUAAGGAAAAUGGUGGAUCACUUGCAAGCCAAACAUCAUUUAAUGGAUGUUCUGCUGGGCCACGCUUCUCUACAGACUCUGACCUCCUUGCUGGGUCCCUGCCUUCUCCUUCCUUUGAGGAGACCCACCGGGAAGGAUCACCUGGGAACACUGGGAGGGCAAGGUGUGGAUGGGGAAGGACAGAAGCCCCUCUCCUCAAGACAGACCUGUUUCUCUCCUGUGGUUUGGUCCAGUUGUUUCACAUGACCAGCAGUGGCCAGUACAUUGCCUUUUCCUAUCCUGGACCACUUCCUCUGCAAUUAAAGUCUAUAGCAUGGAAACCAAAGAAUGGUAGCAUGCACGGGGAGCUAGAUUUACAGUCUUUCCACCCAAUGAGUGAAUAAAGCAACAAACAACAGUCCAUCUUCUUGUCACAGAAUCAUAGGAGGAGUCCCAAAAUGGUAGGAAUCCUAACAAUUUCUUAUUCUGGUAAAAUUCCUGGAGCAUAAAAGGCAUUUGAUUAAUGUUGCAUUGCAUUACAUAUUGAACCCAAUCCCUCGUUUUGCAUGUGAGAAAACUGAGGUCAGGAGGCAUUCUGAGGAUAACUUAGUCCUAGUGACAGACUUGAGAUGGCGACCCUGAACAUCCAACUUCCAGUCUUGUACUUCCUGACUCUGCCCUGGUGUCUGUCCCAGGCAGGGACAAUUCUGAGUUAAAAUACCAUGUUGGCAAUAUUUGUAUUCAACAAGUGCCAGUUGGGACUCUCUUCUUUCCUUGAUCUAAGUAAACCUGCCCUCAAAAUGCUGCUGCAUUUUCCUAAUCCCACUUCCUCCUCAAUCCAAUGCACCUGCCGUGGACCCAUACACUUGCAAGGACUGACUUGGUUGUCUAGAGUGGCAACUAGAAAAUAGGUGAAGUCAUACUCAAUAGUCACCCAGGGGGACAUGGCUUAGCAUUGGCACUCAUCACCCACUGAGGGAGGCUUCAUAUAUUUAAUUUGUCCAAUACGGCUAAAUAAUUCAUAUCAAGCAAAACUUAUUACAUAUUUUAGAAUAGUGAUGGAGUAAAUAGCGAUUGUUUCCCUAUCACUCUUAUUUCUAUAGGGAGAAAAAUUUCUGCAAUAAAUGAAAGACUCAAAACUCUUUAAAAGUUGUAAUGUUUGUUCUGGGAUUGAUCCUCUUACCCAAAGCAGAGCUUCUGCAGCAUCUUCCGAAAGUUUGAUUUCUGGGAAGUUUGGGGCAAAUCUCUCUCUGGCUUUGCCCUAGUUCUUUUUCUUCCAUUUUGGAGGACAUGAACAUCUUCCAGGGAGUAAGUUGCCUGACCCCACGGCUGGAUGUGUUUGGAAAGCUCCAAAUGGAUUAGAGCAUUUAUUUUCCCCCACCCUCUCUAAGCUUCUCCUUUUAUCCAACACAUCGUCUCCAAAAUUUUCCAACCUUUUUUUUUUUGCUAUCAGUGAUUUCAGAACCAACACUUGGAAAGUUUCUUCACUUCCAAUAUUUUCUUUACAUUUUUCCUACGGCCUUCAUAUUUUAGAUUAUUCAAAUGCUUUGUUUUCAUAGUCUAUCUCAAGUAAUCUACAAUGAACAUUUUUAAAAAACAUUUUUCCCCUCCCUUCUUGCCUCCCUUCCUUCCUUCCUUCCUCUCACCUGUUCUCAUCCACUGCCAUCCCAGGCAUCACAGCCUGGGUCAAUAUGAAAGAGCCAAUUUCCCCUUUAACCUCAUACUCAGUUGAAUACAUAUCACAUUUAAUUCAUGAUAUUAUUAUCUGUUUCCCAUGAACAGUGUUACCAUUUUGAUGCCUGGAUUCACAAUUUUAUAACUUUUAAGACAUAGUCAAAAUAGAUUUCUCCAUGGAACUUCCUGAGACCACUUACAAGAAUUCAGAGUGUGCUCUACUUUCCUUGCUAACUGUAGUAGCAGAGAUCUAGUAAUUAUUCACACUUGUGUGCCAAGUCUUUUUUUUCUGUCUCUUCCUUCUCUGUGUCUUCUGAAGUUCCAUGGUCUUUGCUAGAAAUGUAAUCAUCACAGUUGACUUUGGUCUGAAAAUUGGUAACUUCAUCUUCUUACUCUUCAUCAAUCUUUGUAAUACGGUUGUUUUUAAUUAAAGUAAAAUUACAGACAUUUCAGUACAAUGAGUUUCUACCAUGUUUUGACAAUCUCAAACAGUAAAUUCUGACAGACCUUUUUUAUUAUAGUCUUUGGCCUCCUGUUAUCACAUUUGCAUAGUCUUUGUCACCCAUAACAGUUUAUAUGUCCAACAUUGGUGGAAAUAUGAUUCAAAUCUCUGGAUGCUUUUUGAUGUUCCCAUUCAAACUCUGUCUGUCUCUUGUUCUUGAAAAAUAUAGAUUCUUUUCAUUUAUUUUAAAAUUUUUUAAUCUUUUUUUUUUUCCUAGAAGUCUGUGAAGGCUACAAGUCUGCUGGAGAAUGGAAUUGAUAUUGACAGUUUUCCUUGUCACUGUAGUAAUAAAUUCCACAGAAAGGGUCAUCAUAUUUUCAGAAUCACAAUGGAAACCACUACUAUGGUCAAAAUUUCAUCACCAUUGAGUCUAGUCUAGCUGCUUCUCUCUCUCUCUCUCUCCUUCCUUUACUGGAUUCUUUUACUGAUCUCCUCCCACUGCCUGUGAGGCCCCCGAUUCCUGCUAUCCACAUCCAUAUGCUUACCUUAGUGGGACCAGCUCUACUUUGGGGCGGUGGGUGAAAACAUGCUGUGGUGACCUUGGUGCUCUCCAGGAAGGCUUCAAGAGAGCUGGCCGUGGGGCAAUAAAUCAUCCCAGUUUGUAUGGGAUUAGCCUGGUUUUAGUAAUGAAAGUCAUGUGUCCCAAGAAACCCCUUUUCAUGAUGCAAAAACUCCCAGUUUUCUGUAAAGGGUGCAGAAGUUUGGAGGAAAACUAUAAAACCAAUACAGCAGCUCAAAAAAUAGGUCUGAAAGCAAUGCACUUUUUAAUAUCAAAACAAAGCAGCAUAAAUCAUCUGCUUCUUUAGUCACUGUCUCUGGCUUUUCCCCGACCAUGGCUGUCAGUAAUCAGGAUUUGCAGCUCACCGUGAUGAAUCACCAUUGUUGCAUCAGUCUGAGUGAUACGUCUUAAGUGAGCAAAUUAAAUGCCUGGUAUUCAUCAGCAUUGCCCACCCAUCUUUGACUUUGCUUGUAGAUUAGCUGUUGUGCAUUGUAUUGAGAUAGCGCUAAGAUUUUUUUGAAAAAAUUCUGGCUGAAAACUUCCCAGAUUUGAUGAAUAGUACAAACUCACAGAUCUAAAAAGCUCAACGAACCCACAGCAUAAGUAUCCUGAAGAAAACUACACAAAGUCGCACCAUAAUCAAACAGCUUAAAUCCAGUGAAAAAGGGAAAAUCUAAAAACCUGAAAGAGAAAAAAGAUGCAUUAUUCUUAUUCUGUAAUAUAAGCAGCAAGACUAAGUUUCUCUUCCCAUUCAGUUCACGGCACGAUUGAGUUGACCUGUGUGCCACGUCUCUACCCUUACAGUGAAAAAAACAUUCAGAUCAUUUCAAGUUUACAUGAUUCCUCUCCUAUGACACUCAUCAAUCUGCCUUGCACUCUCUGUGAUUCAGCAUUUGGGAUUCUCAUGAGCAGGCAAAGAGAAAAAAGAGGAAAGUGAACAAUCCACUCUAAUGCACUGUGAGCUCCUGGAGAAGGUUAGUGCUUUCAUUGCUCUUGAUUCACCACCCACACCUGAGUCCACGGCCUUUCAGAAUUGUAUCGACAUCAAUAGAAAGUAAGAGGAGAAGAAAAAUCUGACAACCCACCCAGACUCCUCUGCGGUGGAGCUAAAGCUGAUGUGUUUCUUUCCCAUGGAAGAAGGAGUGGUGUCCUCUGCUUCCUGGGCUGCUCCAGACUUUUUCCUUCUUUUCCACCCCUAGUGGUUCCACAGCAGGCUACAGACCAGCAGAAGGACGAUGUUAGGGUUGAUUUGUCCUCUCCAGUGGACACGAUGGUGACGGGAAUGCCCUCUCUCGGGAGUUCUGUCAUUUUCCUGUCUUUCCUUCUAGGCUUCAGCACUGGUUUGGAGACCUUCUGGCUUCCUUCCUGUUUAAUAAUGCAGCUUUCAGUCUGCACACUUGAGAUGAGGGGUCCCGCUACUGGAACUUCAGCUGUUUCUGAAACAGGCUUGUCAGUCGUCUCUGCUCCUGCGAGCACCAUACACAUGCUGCCCUCUGGAGAGAGACUGGCAGCUCCUGCUGACGUGAGGGAAUUACUUGCUUACAAACAUGUUAAGUCCUCACCUCAUAGUGGGGACACGCCGGAAGCACCCGCCCUGGGCAUGACGGCUCUGCUUCCUCCUGGAUCCAUGAAGGCUGCUCCUGCCGGUGUUGAGUCGAUCUGUCCUGAGUAUCCACAGCACCUGCUGUGGCUCCUAUUGUUAUCUCUGCCACUCCUGCUGCUGCCCCUUUGUCAGGCACUGUAGGUUUCGUGACUGCAAGAGUGUGUACAGUACAUCUGCGAGGACUGCUGGAUUCGUCCUCACCCCUCUAAGCAUAAUCAGAAGAGAUGACCUUAAAGAUCUCAGGGAUGAUGUGGGGUCUCCUGAUUCUGACCUGAUUUGGGUGCCUUUCUCCACGGAUCUUCAUGAUCUGUGCUGAAAAGGAAAAGAAAGAAAAAGGGGAAAUGAAU